AUCCCAUCCUAUAUUCAGUCUUCACAAUCCUCUCGUUCGAAUUUUCUUCGUGGGUGUACAAGAGACGCACAGACGGUCGUUGAUAUAUAUUUAAAUUACGACUGUGAAUUGGCUUUGUCGAAUAUCUUUCAAAGAUUGAUCAAUGAUUUGUCUAAAGUUGCCCAAGGACGUCAAGCUAUUAAAUUAAGAGCGACAUCAGUUCAAGAAUGCAGUAUUCGUAUCAAAGUUCUGGAAUGUCUCGUUUCUAUUCUUAAAUGUAUGGUAGAAUGGAGAAGGUAUCUUUACUUU
This is a long non-coding RNA of Xenia sp. Carnegie-2017, 288 nucleotides long. RefSeq lists it as uncharacterized. Lineage: Eukaryota; Metazoa; Cnidaria; Anthozoa; Malacalcyonacea; Xeniidae. The transcript has 3 exons. The record is from RefSeq and is a predicted model, not a curated record.